RNAcentral lists this ribosomal RNA (467 nucleotides) under uncultured bacterium. Its description in RNAcentral is "partial 16S ribosomal RNA". It matches the Rfam family "Bacterial small subunit ribosomal RNA", at positions 29 to 507 of the family's 1533-position model. The record is from RNAcentral.
ACGAACGCUGGCGGCGUGCUUAACCCCUGCCAGUCGAACGGAAAGGCCCUGCUUUUGUGGGGUGCUCGAGUGGCGAACGGGUGAGUAACACGUGAGUAACCUGCCCUUGACUUUGGGAUAACUUCAGGAAACUGGGGCUAAUACCGGAUAGGAGCUCCUGCUGCAUGGUGGGGGUUGGAAAGUUUCGGCGGUUGGGGAUGGACUCGCGGCUUAUCAGCUUGUUGGUGGGGUAGUGGCUUACCAAGGCUUUGACGGGUAGCCGGCCUGAGAGGGUGACCAGCCACAUUGGGACUGAGAUACGGCCCAGACUCCUACGGGAGGCAGCAGUGGGGAAUAUUGCACAAUGGGCGGAAGCCUGAUGCAGCAACGCCGCGUGCGGGAUGACGGCCUUCGGGUUGUAAACCGCUUUCGCCUGUGACGAAGCGUGAGUGACGGUAAUGGGUAAAGAAGCACCGGCUAACUACGUG